AUUGAACGCUGGCGGCAGGCCUAACACAUGCAAGUCGAACGAGUGGCGGACGGGUGAGUAAUGUCUGGGAAACUGCCUGAUGGAGGGGGAUAACUACUGGAAACGGUAGCUAAUACCGCAUACCAUCAGAUGUGCCCAGAUGGGCUUAGCUAGUUGGUGGGGUAACGGCUCACCAAGGCGACGAUCCCUAGCUGGUCUGAGAGGAUGACCACCAACACGGGAACUGGGCCACGGCCCAGCCCCCUACGGGGGUCAGCGGUGGGGAUUUUUGCACAAUGGCGCAAGCCUGAUGCAGCCAUGCCGCGUGUAUGAAGAAGGCCUUCGGGUUGUAAAGUACUUUCAGCGGGGAGGCGUUACCCGCAGAAGAAGCACCGGCUAACUCCGUGCCAGCCGCCGCGGUAAUUC
Molecule: ribosomal RNA, 405 nt
Filed under: uncultured bacterium
Lineage: Bacteria
Description: partial 16S ribosomal RNA
Rfam family: Bacterial small subunit ribosomal RNA
Source: RNAcentral